Molecule: long non-coding RNA, 451 nt
Organism: Protopterus annectens (West African lungfish)
Lineage: Eukaryota; Metazoa; Chordata; Ceratodontiformes; Protopteridae
Exons: 3
Source: RefSeq, a predicted model, not a curated record
UUCUACUUUGGUGUCCUCUGCAAAAAAAAGCCAUGGACCCUUUUUGUUCAACCUGAUCAAAAAAAAAAAAAAAAAAAAACAGAACAGAACAGAUAGACAGAAAUAAGUGAGUAAGUAGUGAUUUACAUAUUAGAAGAAACAUGGGGAGGCACAUUGAAAACUGUGCCAGGAGAUUUCAGCAAAAAUGAUACUUUGAAUAGACCUUUAGAAGUUUUUAUGGAGACGUUUUCAAAGGUAAGAAGGCUAGGGCACCUGAUCUUAACCCAAGAUGCUGUGAGUGUCUUGUUGGAGAAUGAAAACUAAAGCCAGGUAUCACUUUAGCAUUUCCUUAUUUAGUAUUCCUGCAACGAAUCAUGUUACAUAUGUAAACUGAAAACAUUAUUAAAGGAAAACUCCUGCUUAGAACUAAAAAAAAAAUCUAUUUUUCAAUCUAUAUUUGUUUUCUGAGCAA